RNAcentral lists this long non-coding RNA (1245 nucleotides) under Phascolarctos cinereus (koala). RNAcentral's name for it is "lncRNA (ENSPCIG00000034068.1)". The record is from RNAcentral. Lineage: Eukaryota; Metazoa; Chordata; Mammalia; Diprotodontia; Phascolarctidae.
AUGCGGAGACAGAUGGACCGGCAGACGGGAAGAGGGAAGGGGGCGGGGAGCAAGAGACGGCGGGCACCCACACACCAGGCUCCCCCGGCGAUCGGGGCCAAGGCCGGGGAGACAGGACCCCCCCACCCCGGUCCUCAAGCCCCAAGCUCGGAGCCCAAUAAAAAGAGGAACAGAUUGGGGAGGGCAGGAGAGAAGCCCUUCUGUCCCCAUCUCAGAAGCAGACAGACGGAAAAGGCAAACCACAGAAAGGGCAGGGGGUGGGGAGGGGGGCUUCACCGACCGUCUCUUCCCCUCCCCCGCCCGCCCCGCUCCCCGACCGCCCGAGAGAGUCCUCCCCUCCCCCACCCCAGACGCAGACAGACAAAAGGACAGACAGACCCGAGCCCGGACGGCCUCGGGAGGGGGCGGGGGCUGCUCCCCUCCCGCCCCACGCCGGAGCGUCCCGAGCCUGGGCCGGGAGGCGGGGAAGGGGGGGGCUCUUUACCCGGUACCGGGCGCUCCGACCCCCACGCUGGGCCCCGCCUCCGGCCGGCCAGACAGACGGACCACCGGACAAUGGACCCCGGGUUCGCGACUCGGGCCACGCCAGGGCCGGGGCCUCUCCGGGCCGGGGCCGGGGCCAGGCGGGCUCUGGCCGGGCCGUGCGCGGGGAUCCUGCGGGCGGCGCUGCAGACGGACAAAGCCAGCGGCAGACAGACAGACGGAGGGGGGAAAAGAUGGCGACGCGAGCGGCGGGACCGCGCCGCUCGUGCACCCGCCAGCGGGGGGGGGAGGCGCGUGCACGAGCAGGAGCCGCCGGAGCCGCGUCCCCGCCUCCCUCAUCCCCGCUCGCCGCCGCCGGCUCCUCCUCCUCCCCCUCUCCAUGGGCGGGGCCUCCCUCCGGAGCCCCCCCCCUCGGCCUGCCGCCACGCCCUCUGGACCUCUGCUCUCCUCCACAGUCAAGUUCAACCGCAGACCCCACAUUGCUGCCCCACCCCGCCUCAGCCCGCCCCCCAAACCCCAAACCCCAAAGUGCCCGGCUCUUUUCGGCCCCCCUUCCUGCCCGAGCGGACGCGGGGCAGGGGGAGGGGUUGGUGGGUAGGGGGGGAGGGGGCAGAGCCGCGGGUGACUUUGACGUCUCGGCCCUCCCUUCCCCCUCCUUCCUUCCCCUCCCCCCGCCCCGCCCUCAGCUGGGAGCCACGAGGAAGUGGCCCGGAGGGGUGGGGGCUGUCGCCUCUCUUCCCCGCGAGCGGGCUGUCUGUCUGA